This 249-nucleotide ribosomal RNA is filed under the name uncultured bacterium. RNAcentral describes it as "partial 16S ribosomal RNA". It matches the Rfam family "Bacterial small subunit ribosomal RNA", at positions 528 to 779 of the family's 1533-position model. The record is from RNAcentral.
CGAAGGGCUAGCGUUGCUCGGAAUCACUGGGCGUAAAGGGCGCGUAGGCGGUCUUUAAGUCGGGGUGAAGCCUGUGGCUCAACCACAGAAUUGCCUUCGAUACUGGGAGACUUGAGUUCGGUAGAGGUUGGUGGAACUGCGAGUGUAGAGGUGAAAUUCGUAGAUAUUCGCAAGAACACCGGUGGCGAAGGCGGCCAACUGGACCGACACUGACGCUGAGGCGCGAAAGCGUGGGGAGCAAACAGGAUU